Molecule: ribosomal RNA, 279 nt
Filed under: uncultured bacterium
Lineage: Bacteria
Description: partial 16S ribosomal RNA
Rfam family: Bacterial small subunit ribosomal RNA
Source: RNAcentral
UGCCAGCAGCCGCGGUAAUACGAAGGGCCCGAGCGUUAAUCGGAAUCACUGGGCUUAAAGCGUACGCAGGCGGACAUGAAGGCAUCUUGUGAAAGCCCUCGGCUCAACCGAGGAAUUGCUUGGUGAACCACAUGUCUUGAGCCAAGUAGGGGCUGUCGGAACGCUAGGUGGAGUGGUGAAAUGCGUUGAUAUCUAGCGGAACGCCAAAGGAGAAAUCAGGCAGCUGGGCUUGGUCUGACGCUGAGGUACGAAAGCGUGGGGAGCGAACGGGAUUAGAUA